GAGUGGCAUGAUGGACUCGUCCCUGGGAAGUUGACCAUUCGGGAACCACGGCCCUCGAAGUCAUGGUACCUCAGUCUCAGUGGGAUCUUCCUUUCCUAAAUGAGGAACGGGACUCAAAGAGGAACACCCCAAGGUCAUACAGCGAGUCUGUGGCUAGGCAUGGGUCUGCUCAGACUUCCAGCAGUAGGUGACCUUCUGACUCAGAGCUCCGCUGCUGGGAAAUGCCACCAGAGCUUUCCUCUCUGUGUCUCCUGACAUCCAGGGUGUGCAGCUAGGCAGAGUCUUUCUGUGAAGCACAUGCUACCACUAAAACUCAUGAUCCUCCUGCCUCAGCAUCCAGAGAA
This 344-nucleotide long non-coding RNA is filed under the name Mus musculus (house mouse). Its description in RNAcentral is "predicted gene 15850, transcript variant 3 (Gm15850)". The record is from RNAcentral. Lineage: Eukaryota; Metazoa; Chordata; Mammalia; Rodentia; Muridae.